UCCAGACUGCAGACUGGAGACUCUCAGGAUCAGAGGAGAGACAAUCAGAGCCAAGAUCCAGAAGAACUGUCCGGGGGGGGUUACCUGUUGACCCGUGUCCGUCUCCACAAGUGUCCGCAGGCAUCCCCUAAUACUGCGGUUGGGGGGAUGACGUUCUGUAAUCAAAGCACUGUUGUCUUUGAAACGCUCUCAAAGUCUUUGAUGACAAAGUCAGAAAAAUGACAAGAAGAAAUAUUUUGAAACUCUUGGACUUUGUGUUUUUCACCCCAGGUUAAUUAAUGUCCAAUCAAAUGUUUCCUUUGAUUUCUAAAAGGAGCUCUGCCUGGUGCCAUUGAAAUGGUGGUAUUUGGGUUGAUGUGCAUGUAGUCUGUAUGAAGUGUAAUCAGAUAUAACCUUUAAGAUGUGUUGUGAUAUCUCUAAAAGGAAUGAUAGCUGUGCAGAGAGUGGAUUCAGAUACUGUUGACAGGGGUCUAUGUGCAGGUGAAGAACUGACCCUGGGUCAGCAGAGUUCCUGCAGUGGACAUGCUUUAGAUGUCCUGCUGAUGUGGAGACACCUCGUACAGGAAAGAGUUUUGAUGGUUUCUCUGUUCUCCAUUAUAAGGUAACUCACUGCAGGCUGCUCUCUCUUUAGGACGGACGAUGUUCACAUUAAAGAUCUGUAUAUAAAUACAAUAUAAAUUAUAUCUCCUGUACAUAUCCAGGCUGAGUGGACAGUCUGACUCCGGUCUGACAGUCAUGUUGAGAACAGCUCGACUUAUACUUAAUAAGUCUUAAUAACAACUUAAUAACCUUCACCCAUUGUCCCUGCAAGUGUUUUACCUGCCGACACGCCCACCAAAGGUAAUCAAUGAUUUAGAAGCUGCAGCUGAUCUGAGGCCAGUCCCUGCAGCUCCACAGCCAGUGAAGACAGAUAAAACUCAACAUCACUCAUCAGUAGGGAUGUAACGAUGCAUCGUGAACCGGUAAAAAAUCGGUACAGAUGCGUUAAGAUUAAAACCGGUUGAGCUAAAAAAUUAAUCGUGAUGCAAUUUUUUUUAACGGCACAGGUUGUGAACUAAUUUUGAUUUGAUUUGAUUCGCUGGAACAGCAGUCUGGACAUGAUUGAACGCUAUCUAGAACAACAACUUGCUGUGGCAGUUGCUCUCCUCAGUGCAGACGUCUGUCGAAAUGCCCGUGAAAUCGACACACUGGAUAACAUCCGUGAUGCCGAGGACCAGGGGUGUAGAGCUGCCGGACCACACCGGAACGUCGCUCGGCACUUCAAACAUUGCAGUACCCAUAAGGAGCCGUACACAUGCAGCAGUUUUUGCGUGGUUGUGUCUUUAGUUUAAAGCCCAGUGGCGAUCUGUCAUACUGAUCAUACAAUAAGCCAUCGAAAAUAAUAUGAUACAGUACAAGUACUUAUGGGUCUCUGUGUUUCAUUCAAGCUCGGCUCUGUGUGAGUGCGCGAUUGUU
Trematomus bernacchii (emerald rockcod) is the source of this 1455-nucleotide long non-coding RNA. RefSeq lists it as uncharacterized. The record is from RefSeq and is a predicted model, not a curated record. NCBI's taxonomy places the organism in Eukaryota, Metazoa, Chordata, Actinopteri, Perciformes, Nototheniidae. The transcript is spliced from 3 exons.